This 740-nucleotide ribosomal RNA is filed under the name uncultured bacterium. RNAcentral describes it as "bacterial SSU rRNA". It matches the Rfam family "Bacterial small subunit ribosomal RNA", at positions 28 to 758 of the family's 1533-position model. The record is from RNAcentral.
GAUGAACGCUAGCUACAGGCUUAACACAUGCAAGUCGAGGGGCAUCAGGAAGAAAGCUUGCUUUCUUUGCUGGCGACCGGCGCACGGGUGAGUAACACGUAUCCAACCUGCCCUUUACUCGGGGAUAGCCUUUCGAAAGAAAGAUUAAUACCCGAUGGCAUAAUGAUUCCGCAUGGUUUCAUUAUUAAAGGAUUCCGGUAAAGGAUGGGGAUGCGUUCCAUUAGGUUGUUGGUGAGGUAACGGCUCACCAAGCCUUCGAUGGAUAGGGGUUCUGAGAGGAAGGUCCCCCACAUUGGAACUGAGACACGGUCCAAACUCCUACGGGAGGCAGCAGUGAGGAAUAUUGGUCAAUGGGCGCUAGCCUGAACCAGCCAAGUAGCGUGAAGGAUGAAGGCUCUAUGGGUCGUAAACUUCUUUUAUAUAAGAAUAAAGUGCAGUAUGUAUACUGUUUUGUAUGUAUUAUAUGAAUAAGGAUCGGCUAACUCCGUGCCAGCAGCCGCGGUAAUACGGAGGAUCCGAGCGUUAUCCGGAUUUAUUGGGUUUAAAGGGAGCGUAGGUGGACUGGUAAGUCAGUUGUGAAAGUUUGCGGCUCAACCGUAAAAUUGCAGUUGAUACUGUCAGUCUUGAGUACAGUAGAGGUGGGCGGAAUUCGUGGUGUAGCGGUGAAAUGCUUAGAUAUCACGAAGAACUCCGAUUGCGAAGGCAGCUCACUGGACUGCAACUGACACUGAUGCUCGAAA